This is a long non-coding RNA of Drosophila biarmipes, 681 nucleotides long. RefSeq lists it as uncharacterized. NCBI's taxonomy places the organism in Eukaryota, Metazoa, Arthropoda, Insecta, Diptera, Drosophilidae. The transcript is spliced from 2 exons. The record is from RefSeq and is a predicted model, not a curated record.
UCUAAAAAGAAGAUCGAGUAAAAACAUUAAAGUUAACUCUUAAUAAGACGAUUAACAAGGUUUCAAUAAUGUCACACAGAAUCUUAGAAAAGAGUUAAGUCAUUGUUUUUUCUAGGUAAAAUAAAAUUCACCAUGUUUGAAUUUCAGAAAAAAUAUAUAUAUGUACAUGUUUCUAUGCAUCAGGAAUUCACAUAUUUGUUAUUUCCAUGGUAAACAAUGAUUGUAUUUUAAAGAUUGUUUUCUUUGAACCCGGAUCCAAUACACAGAGAUCCUUGGACCGAAGAAUAUAUGAUACUGAUUUCGAUUACGAAUAUACUCGAUGCCCUCUUCAAUGGCAUAACAAUAUAAUGAUAAUAAUAUAAUAAGUGAUAAAGUACAACCAUGGAAUAUAAAAGACUUGCGCAGCUGACUCGAGUUCAGUUUAAAAGUACAAAUCAAGAUGAGAAUACUGAUUUUCCUGUUUGUCCUGCUGAUCGCUGUUGUUGUUCAGUCUAAAAAUAAUGCUAACGAUAAGCAAGGCCCAUGCGUCCUUGGUGAUUGCGACCCCUUCCCAAAAAAAUGAAAAAAAUUGAUUCAACGAAAAUUAUUUAAUUCUCUACGAAUUGGAAACCAAGCAAUCGCAAUGUGAAAACUUCCUUUUUAAGUAUUUUUGUAUCUAUUAAAACUAGUUUCUGAAGUAAA